Molecule: long non-coding RNA, 1482 nt
Filed under: Mus caroli (Ryukyu mouse)
Lineage: Eukaryota; Metazoa; Chordata; Mammalia; Rodentia; Muridae
Description: RIKEN cDNA C430042M11 gene (MGP_CAROLIEiJ_G0005233.1)
Source: RNAcentral
AUAUAGAAUGUUCUCCCCCUCUCAAACACCAGGUCUGCCUACACACGGCUGUGCUUCCCACCAUGAUGAUAAUGAACUAAACCGCUGAAAUUAAGCCAGCCCAGAGUAUGUUUUCCAUCAUGAGAGCUGCCAUGGUCAUGGAGUCUCUUCACAGCAAGAGAACCCCUGACUCAGACAGUGAGUUUGGAGGUGAGAAGACGAUUGUGGGGAGUCAGCUCUCUCCUUCAUCACUGUGGAUCCCAGGGAAGGACGGUAGGUCGUCAGCUCAGUGACAAGCGUCUGUACCUCUAAUCCAUCUCGCCCCUGCCCUUUGCAGUGGCCAUGCCUGUUUGUCAACUUGAUGAUAUCCGGAAUGAGCAACAAUCCAGAAGUGGAGGACAUACCUAUGGGAGAUGACUCCGCUGGGUUUGUAGUGGAUGAAUCUAGAUGAGCUUUGAGGUGAGGAAGACAUACCUUUAACCUUGGCCACACCCUCUGCUGGAAGUCUAUGGAAGAGGAUGACAUAGGAAGCUUUCGCUCUUUGCCUGCUCACCCUCACCUUUCGAGCACAUCCAUCCCUUCACUGGCAUUAGUGCCACCUACUUCUGCAGGAUUCCAGCAGAUACAGGAGAUCAGCUGAGACAUCCAGCCUUGUGGACCGAGCAACUACUGGAUUCUUGGGCUUUAUGUUCACGGUCAAUUGUUGUUUGAUUAGCUGGACAACAGUCUCUCUCUCUCGAUAGAUAGAUAGAUAGAUAGAGAAAAGUAGAUAGAUAGACGGGGGGGGGGGAGAGAUUCAUUCUAUAAGUUCUGCUCUAGAGAACCGUGACGAAUACACCUUCUUCCUCCUUCUUCUUCUUCCCCUUCUUCUUCCCCUUCUUCUUCCCCUUCUUCCUCUUCUUCGACAUAGUCUCCCAUAGUUGCUCAGGCCCUUGGGCUUCCUCUGCAGCACAAAUAGCUUUGAAUUUUCUCUCCUGUCUCAGCCUCCAGUAGCUAGGAUUAUAGUCUGUUGCCACCAGGUCUGGCUUACUAGCAUUAUUUUGACACCACUAAUUUUGUGUCAUAGCAUCAAUAGAAAAAAACAGCUGAGUCUAGUCAAUGGAAAACCCAAAACAAGACGUUAGCAUAGGUGCCACCAGCAAUAUUUGCAGAAGACCACGGACUCGAAGUGGAGUCCAGCAUCUGCUCAGUACACCAAGCAAAUGUCGGGAAAGUUCAAAGGCAGGAUCUGCGAAUCAUUGACUCCUGGAGACCCUGAAAUGGACUGAGCAGCUAACUAUUAAGUUCUGUGUGUAUGUGUUAGUUCUCUUGCUCUGCAGACACCUUCAGAAUUCAGCGCUGGCUGCUGUUCUUAGAACCUGCUCUGUUCUUGGAGCUGUGUCAUUGUUGUAUUGUUUUCUUUGUUCAACUAAACUCUACUUCCUAUGAUAGGACUAAGGAAUUCUUCCAUUCCUCAACACAAUUAUAUCAAUAAUUAAAUAUGAAAUGUGUGGACCCAGCUAC